This 429-nucleotide ribosomal RNA is filed under the name Bacillota bacterium. RNAcentral's name for it is "Firmicutes bacterium partial 16S ribosomal RNA". It matches the Rfam family "Bacterial small subunit ribosomal RNA", at positions 355 to 776 of the family's 1533-position model. Lineage: Bacteria; Bacillati; Bacillota. The record is from RNAcentral.
UAGGGAAUCUUCGGCAAUGGACGGAAGUCUGACCGAGCAACGCCGCGUGAGUGAAGAAGGUUUUCGGAUCGUAAAGCUCUGUUGUUAGAGAAGAACGUUGGUAGGAGUGGAAAAUCUACCAAGUGACGGUAACUAACCAGAAAGGGACGGCUAACUACGUGCCAGCAGCCGCGGUAAUACGUAGGUCCCGAGCGUUGUCCGGAUUUAUUGGGCGUAAAGCGAGCGCAGGCGGUUCUUUAAGUCUGAAGUUAAAGGCAGUGGCUUAACCAUAGUACGCUUUGGAAACUGAAGGACUUGAGUGCAGAAGGGGAGAGUGGAAUUCCAUGUGUAGCGGUUAAAUGCGUAGAUAUAUGGGGGAAAACCGGUGGCGAAAGCGGCUCUCUGGUCUGUAACUGACGCGGAGGCUCGAAAGCGUGGGGAGCAAACAGG